GCUGAGCACGGUGGCGCGUGCCUGUAGUCCCAGCUACUCGGGAGGCUGAGGUGGGAGGAUCGCCUGAGUCCAGGAGUUCGGGGCUGUAGUGCGUUAUGCAGAUCAGGGGUCCGCACUAAAUUCAGCAUCAAUAUGGUGACCUCCCGGGAGCGGGGGACCACUAGGUUGCCUAAGGAGGGGUGAACCGGCCCAGGUUGGAAACAGAGCAGGUCAAAACUACCGUGCUGAUCAGCAGUGGGAUCGUGCCUGUGAGUAGCCACUGUACUCCAGCCUGGGCAACAUAGCGAGACCCCAUCUCU
This is an unclassified non-coding RNA of Cebus imitator (Panamanian white-faced capuchin), 299 nucleotides long. It matches the Rfam family "Metazoan signal recognition particle RNA". Rfam says of the family: The signal recognition particle (SRP) is a universally conserved ribonucleoprotein. The record is from Ensembl. NCBI's taxonomy places the organism in Eukaryota, Metazoa, Chordata, Mammalia, Primates, Cebidae.